This 642-nucleotide long non-coding RNA is filed under the name Zea mays. RNAcentral describes it as "long non-coding RNA (ZMAY_LNC003109)". Lineage: Eukaryota; Viridiplantae; Streptophyta; Magnoliopsida; Poales; Poaceae. The record is from RNAcentral.
CAAAACACAUUGCAGGAUAGCACUAACUCUGAAAUUUCAUCUGGAGGCAUUUCUGCUGUGUUGUGCUUGGGCAAAAUGCUGAAGAAACUUUUAGAUGACUAUGGCACUCUUCUGUACAAGUCGACUGAAGGCAAUUUUGCCGAGAGAGACAUUCAGUUAGAGGAUAUCAAGCCAUCUAAGGAUGCCUCUAAAUCGGACACUGGUGCAUACGAGAAAGAGAUGGAACUAAAUUCUUUAAAUAACGAGUUAGAUCAUGCUCACAACAAUCUGGCCUUAGCGCAACAGGAGUGUGAUGAAGCUGUGGAGAAGGCACAAUCACUAAUGAUGGAAAUUGAGACCUUACAUGCUCAAAUAAGUAAAUUGCAGGAAAGUGAUGCUGAACAAAUGCAAAAGAAAGAGAUGGAACUAAAUUCUUUAAAUAACGAGUUAGAUCAUGCUCGUAACAAUCUGGCCUUAGUGGAGCAGGAGCGUGAUGAAGCUGUGGAGAAGGCACAAUCACUAAUGAUGGAAAUUGAGACCUUACAUGCUCAAAUAAGUAAAUUGCAGGAAAGUGAUGCUGAACAGAUGCAAAAAUAUCAGUCGCUUGUCCUUGAACUAGAAAGUGUGGGUAAGCAACGGGACAAUCUACAGGAGCGGUUAAAU